GGGGAUGACAGGCUUCGACGGGGAAGGCUGGUUCUUGGUGGCAAGCCGAGGUGCUUCACCUCGCUAAAAAGGAGCAAAGGCAAUAACUGCCAACAACAAAGUGAACACGGCAUUCGCAUUCCCGAAGGUGGCUCAGCCAGCAAUGGCUAUCGCCGCCUAAGGGCGACGUGAGUGCUCUGGUCACCACGAGUGACCACGUCGGUCCGCUCCGCCUCCCGCUAGGGGCGAAGCCGGCGACAUCAAAUGCGGGGUGCGGCGGGCCCGAUGCCGAUGAGGCCUGCCAAAGACGGGGAGACCCGGAUCGGAUGGCCAGAGCUGCAUCCUGUCGGCCGGAGUCAGCACUGGCGACAGCCAAUUGACCGACUAAGCUUGUAGCACCACCUUGGAUCGAAUUCUUCGGACGCGGGUUCGAUUCCCGCCAUCUCCACUC
Molecule: transfer-messenger RNA, 430 nt
Filed under: Anaerolineae
Lineage: Bacteria; Bacillati; Chloroflexota
Also listed under: 1 other name
Description: JAAYZY01 sp012514615 Standard tmRNA
Rfam family: transfer-messenger RNA
About the family: Bacterial tmRNA, also known as 10Sa RNA or SsrA, is named for its dual tRNA and mRNA-like properties. Its role is to liberate the mRNA from a stalled ribosome.
Source: RNAcentral